GCUGAAAUGAGCUUUCCAGUGAUCGAGUAUGUCAUUGAUCAAACUGGGCUUCAGGGGCUUCGUCUUGCGAUCGAGCGAGAUGUAGUGAUGUCGAGAUUGAAUGGUCCAGCGACCCUUUGAUCGAGUGCGAUCGAGUGGAUGUCAUGAGGUGGUGAUCGAGUGGUUUCUUCGGCUUCUCUUCUCUUCUUUGUUCUCAGCUUGUCUGGUUGAGAGCAGAACGAGCAGGUAGGCUUCCUGGUGGUCGAGUGGUGAUCGAGUGGUUCUGAUGGGGUGAUUCCUC
This 280-nucleotide small RNA is filed under the name Arabidopsis thaliana (thale cress). Its description in RNAcentral is "ATSL164800". Lineage: Eukaryota; Viridiplantae; Streptophyta; Magnoliopsida; Brassicales; Brassicaceae. The record is from RNAcentral.